RNAcentral lists this ribosomal RNA (509 nucleotides) under uncultured bacterium. RNAcentral's name for it is "partial 16S ribosomal RNA". It matches the Rfam family "Bacterial small subunit ribosomal RNA", at positions 28 to 523 of the family's 1533-position model. The record is from RNAcentral.
GACGAACGCUGGCGGCGCGCCUAACACAUGCAAGUCGAGCGAGAACCAGGACUUCGGUCCUGGGGACAGCGGCGAACGGGUGAGUAACACGUGGAUAACCUGCCCUCGGCACCGGAAUAGCCCGGGGAAACUCGGAUUAAUGCCGGAUAGCCCCACAUCCCUGCGGGGAACGUGGGAAAAGGUAGCUUCGGCCUCUGGCCGGGGAUGGGUCGGCGGUGGAUUAGCUUGUUGGCGGGGUAAUGGCCCACCAAGGCGACGAUCCAUAGGUGGUCUGAGAGGACAAUCAGCCACACUGGGACGGAGACACGGCCCAGACUCCUACGGGAGGCAGCAGUGGGGAAUCUUGCGCAAUGGGCGAAAGCCUGACGCAGCGACGCCGCGUGCGGGAGGAAGGCCUUCGGGUUGUAAACCGCUUUCAGGGGGGACGAAGCCACUCGGGUGAAUAGCCCAGAGGGUGACGGUACCUCCAGAAGAAGCCCCGGCUAACUACGUGCCAGCCGCCGCUGUAA